This 487-nucleotide ribosomal RNA is filed under the name Strongylocotes orbicularis. RNAcentral's name for it is "partial 16S ribosomal RNA". It matches the Rfam family "Archaeal large subunit ribosomal RNA", at positions 1915 to 2664 of the family's 2987-position model. The record is from RNAcentral. Lineage: Eukaryota; Metazoa; Arthropoda; Insecta; Psocodea; Heptapsogasteridae.
UCCUCUCGAGAGAAUGAGAGGUAGGACCUGCCCAAUGCUUCAAGAGUCAAUGGCCGCAGAAUCUUGACUGUGCUAAGGUAGCGUAAUCAGUUGGCCUUUAAUUGGGGUCUAGGAUAAACGGUCUGACAAGGUUCAAACUUUCUUUGGAGAACCAAGAGAAUUUGAUUUUUUGGUUAAAAAGCCAAAGUGAAAGAGGGGGACGAGAAGACCCUACAGAUCUUUAGAGCCUAUCUUUAGAAAUUAAAGGAAAGCUCUUUGUUUGGGAGGAAACUUGAAAUAAACUAAACUUUAGUUAAACUAACGAACAAACUCGUCUAGAAAUCUGAUCCUCUGAGAGAGAGAAAAGAGGACAAAGUUACCUUAGGGAUAACAGAGUUAUUUAUUCACUGAGAUCGUAUUGGUGAAUGAGUUUACCACCUCGAUGUUGAAUUAAACUUUCACUCUGAAGGAGAAAGCAGAGCAGUUGGUUUGUUCAACCACUAACAGU